RNAcentral lists this unclassified non-coding RNA (253 nucleotides) under uncultured Kofleriaceae bacterium. RNAcentral's name for it is "contains 16S-23S intergenic spacer region". It matches the Rfam family "Bacterial small subunit ribosomal RNA", at positions 524 to 776 of the family's 1533-position model. Lineage: Bacteria; Pseudomonadati; Myxococcota; Haliangiales; Kofleriaceae. The record is from RNAcentral.
UACAUGGGGUGCAAACGUUGCUCGGAAUUAUUGGGCGUAAAGCGCACGUAGGCGGUCCGUUAAGUCGGAUGUGAAAGCCCUCGGCUCAACCGAGGAAGUGCAUCCGAAACUGGCGGGCUGGAGUACGAAAGAGGGUCGCGGAAUUCCCGGUGUAGAGGUGAAAUUCGUAGAUAUCGGGAGGAACACCGGCGGCGAAGGCGGCGACCUGGGUCGAUACUGACGCUGAGGUGCGAAAGCGUGGGGAGCAAACAGG